GUGUCAGGGGCAGCUGCUGGAAGGAGGCGCAAGCACCACGGAGAGUCUGGGAUGCCCAGCCAAGGAGCCCUGGAAGGGUUGCCCUGGGGACUGACACUGUGGGCUCUGUGUUUUAGCCAAGUCACCCAGGCAGCUGAACAGAAGAUGGACUGGAGGGAGAAGCCUGGAUGUAGGAUCGCUCAGCAACAAAGGAGCCAGAAAAGGCAAGGUGUACACACCGUGUGCAGCAUGGGCGAGCUGCAGGCAUGCAGGUAAGAGUGUGUGCAUGCAGGUGUGUGCACACGAGUUUGCAUGUGCUGAUGCAGAUGGCUAUGAUGCGUGGUGGUGAUAUAUACAUGUGGAUGCUUAUGGAUCUGUGCCAACCAUUAUUAAGCACAUAUGUAUACCCGUGUGUGUAUAUGCAUGCAUGUGUUUGUGUGAGUUGCAAUGUGUAUACAACUUUACACAAUAAGUGAAUUGAGUACAUGUACCUGUUUAUCCACGGAAGUGUAUGAUGACUGGACAUAUGUAAAUAUGUGUAUUUGCAUGUGUUUAUACUUUGUGCAUAGAUGCAUGUUUG
Homo sapiens (human) is the source of this 559-nucleotide long non-coding RNA. Ensembl annotates it as long intergenic non-protein coding RNA 2757. The record is from Ensembl. NCBI's taxonomy places the organism in Eukaryota, Metazoa, Chordata, Mammalia, Primates, Hominidae.